RNAcentral lists this long non-coding RNA (455 nucleotides) under Linum usitatissimum (flax). RNAcentral describes it as "long non-coding RNA (LUSI_LNC001624)". Lineage: Eukaryota; Viridiplantae; Streptophyta; Magnoliopsida; Malpighiales; Linaceae. The record is from RNAcentral.
CUGGUUUCAAGGGAGCUAAACAGUAAUAACAGUUACAUCAGAAGCACGCAUAGCAUGAGCUACACUAUAAGUGUCUGAAAUGUGGCCAGUACAUGCUGAUCCAUCAACAAUUUAUAUCAUCAUACAAAAUAAAGGAGAAGCAAAGAAAAAGGAGCAUUGGAUAGUUACCGCACAAAACGAACUCUUGAUAAUAUGUUCAGAAGUAGCAGAGGGGUGCAGAACGGACGAAUGUUGAAGACCUAAAAAGGCAUCCUUAAUAUGUGUCACCAGCCUGACAUCCUCAACAACCUGUUCAAAGAAGAGAGAAAGCAGAAAAGAAAACAAAAGAAAAUAAGAAUCAGAAGUCAUGCAAAGUCCUAAUUGCUCACAUGAACAAACAAGAAAAGGAUAUUCAAAUUUUUAUGUGUGCGAGUAUAAACUCCAAAGCACAAGCAACUAUGCAUCAAAUUGUUCUU